RNAcentral lists this ribosomal RNA (611 nucleotides) under uncultured bacterium. Its description in RNAcentral is "bacterial SSU rRNA". It matches the Rfam family "Bacterial small subunit ribosomal RNA", at positions 92 to 688 of the family's 1533-position model. The record is from RNAcentral.
CGAGUGGCGGACGGGUGAGUAACACGUAGGUAACCCGCCCAGAAGCGGGGGACAACAUUUGGAAACAGAUGCUAAUACCGCAUAACAGCGUUGUUCGCAUGAACAACGCUUAAAAGAUGGCUUCUCGCUAUCACUUCUGGAUGGACCUGCGGUGCAUUAGCUUGUUGGUGGGGUAACGGCCUACCAAGGCGAUGAUGCAUAGCCGAGUUGAGAGACUGAUCGGCCACAAUGGGACUGAGACACGGCCCAUACUCCUACGGGAGGCAGCAGUAGGGAAUCUUCCACAAUGGGCGCAAGCCUGAUGGAGCAACACCGCGUGAGUGAAGAAGGGUUUCGGCUCGUAAAGCUCUGUUGUUAAAGAAGAACACGUAUGAGAGUAACUGUUCAUACGUUGACGGUAUUUAACCAGAAAGUCACGGCUAACUACGUGCCAGCAGCCGCGGUAAUACGUAGGUGGCAAGCGUUAUCCGGAUUUAUUGGGCGUAAAGAGAGUGCAGGCGGUUUUCUAAGUCUGAUGUGAAAGCCUUCGGCUUAACCGGAGAAGUGCAUCGGAAACUGGAUAACUUGAGUGCAGAAGAGGGUAGUGGAACUCCAUGUGUAGCGGUGGAAUG